Molecule: ribosomal RNA, 580 nt
Filed under: Rhodotorula mucilaginosa
Lineage: Eukaryota; Fungi; Basidiomycota; Microbotryomycetes; Sporidiobolales; Sporidiobolaceae
Description: eukaryotic LSU rRNA
Rfam family: Eukaryotic large subunit ribosomal RNA
Source: RNAcentral
CGGAGGAAAAGAAACUAACAAGGAUUCCCCUAGUAGCGGCGAGCGAAGCGGGAAGAGCUCAAAUUUAUAAUCUGGCACCUUCGGUGUCCGAGUUGUAAUCUCUAGAAAUGUUUUCCGCGUUGGACCGCACACAAGUCUGUUGGAAUACAGCGGCAUAGUGGUGAGACCCCCGUAUAUGGUGCGGACGCCCAGCGCUUUGUGAUACAUUUUCGAAGAGUCGAGUUGUUUGGGAAUGCAGCUCAAAUUGGGUGGUAAAUUCCAUCUAAAGCUAAAUAUUGGCGAGAGACCGAUAGCGAACAAGUACCGUGAGGGAAAGAUGAAAAGCACUUUGGAAAGAGAGUUAACAGUACGUGAAAUUGUUGGAAGGGAAACGCUUGAAGUCAGACUUGCUUGCCGAGCAAUCGGUUUGCAGGCCAGCAUCAGUUUUCCGGGAUGGAUAAUGGUAGAGAGAAGGUAGCAGUUUCGGCUGUGUUAUAGCUCUCUGCUGGAUACAUCUUGGGGGACUGAGGAACGCAGUGUGCCUUUGGCGGGGGUUUCGACCUCUUCACGCUUAGGAUGCUGGUGGAAUGGCUUUAAACGA